RNAcentral lists this ribosomal RNA (617 nucleotides) under uncultured bacterium. Its description in RNAcentral is "bacterial SSU rRNA". It matches the Rfam family "Bacterial small subunit ribosomal RNA", at positions 255 to 873 of the family's 1533-position model. The record is from RNAcentral.
GGGUAACGCUCACCAAGCCGACGAUCUUUAGGGGGCGUGAGAGCGUGACCCCCCACACGGGUACUGAGACACGGACCCGACUCCUACGGGAGGCAGCAGUAGGGAAUAUUGGUCAAUGGAGGCAACUCUGAACCAGCCAUGCCGCGUGAAGGAUGAAGGCGCUCUGCGUCGUAAACUUCUUUUAUAUGGGGCGAAAAUGCGGGAUUUAUCCUGUACUGACAGUACCAUAGGAAUAAGCACCGGCUAACUCCGUGCCAGCAGCCGCGGUAAUACGGAGGGUGCAAGCGUUAUCCGGAUUUACUGGGUUUAAAGGGUGCGUAGGCGGGACAUUAAGUCAGUGGUGAAAGCUCGUUGCUUAACAACGGAAUUGCCAUUGAAACUGAUAUUCUUGAGAUAAGUUGAGGUUGGCGGAAUGUGACAUGUAGCGGUGAAAUGCUUAGAUAUGUCAUAGAACACCGAUUGCGAAGGCAGCUGACUGGACUUUAUCUGACGCUGAGGCACGAAAGCGUGGGGAUCAAACAGGAUUAGAUACCCUGGUAGUCCACGCCCUAAACGAUGUUUACUUGCUGUUUGCCUUUCGGGGUGAGUGGCGAAGCGAAAGCGAUAAGUAAACCACC